ACCCUCAAAAGGCUUCCCCACAACUUUCCUGUAUAAGAUGUAUACAGCUUUCUCCCACCUUCCUUUUUAAAAAGAUGUUGAGUGGCAGCUCUGACAAUUGUUCCCAAUAUUUUGAUUACAGAAUUGCCCUGUUAUUCCAGCAAGUCUGAAAUUAGAUACAGGUGCAAAUUAACUGGCUAAGUCACAAGUGCAUUAAAGUUGGUAAUUUUUCUGUCAAGAGGCAUGUUGAAAGGUUGCCGAGAAUUACGAUAGCUGGUUGGAGCCAACUGCCUGGCACAGGUGUGCCUAGAGUUGGGAAAACAUUCCCCUUGGAUGAUGUGAGACCCACAAAAGCAGAAUAAUUCCCUGCAACUUCAGCUGGUGUCCUGCUUUUUGGUAACCCUUUCUUGAAUGGAGAUGGAGCUGUGGUUUCCUUAGCCAUACUCUCAGGGCCCUUCUAAAGGGGACAAAAGGGAUUAUGCAGAUUUAUUGGAACGUUACAAUGAUACCCAGAGAAUUUUCUUUAUGUAUGAAGAAAAAUGUUCUUGUUGAGGUAGAUAGUCCUCAAAAAGUGCUUAAAGACAACUUGAACACACAAUAAUCUGCUCAAAAGUUGGGUUUGUAUCCAGAUCUUCAGAACUUCCAUGAAGGGAGCAGAACAAUCUCAUUUUUGGCUUCCUGCUUUUGUUGAUUAGCAUAACCGGCUGUUGAGAAGCACAGCAGGCAGGCGAUGACUGUCUGCUAAAGAACCAAGAGCUUUUCCUCUCAUCUGUUUGGUCUUUUUGCAAAAGGACUGUAGGGGCUUGCAAUUUCAUAGAAGGUCACCCUGGUAUAUAGGAGCUGUAUCUAACCAAGAGGAAGCUAUGCUACCUUUUACUGUCCAUUUUAAACUAGCCUGCCCACUACUUUGUGGCUCAGAGGGGUAUUUCUUAGUAUCAACAAUGUGCUUUAAUUAAACUGUUAAAAACACUAGUUCAGCUGUUGCAUUGCAGAAGAAAGAUAAAAGCACAGCAAGACAUCUGUGUGUAGGAAAAGACUAUGCAAAAUAUAAACACCUGCCUUUUGUUGGUGACAAGCUGUGGAAACAUAAAGAGGACAGGUGCUCUACCUCCUGGCACUCAGAUAUUUCUCUGUGCCCUUUAAACAUUCUCUCCAGAAGGCCCAAUACUCCUCCCCGGCUGCCUUCUUUCCGGAGCCAGGACAGCCAUGCUGUGUUGACAUGGUUUGAAUAAAACAGCCCCAAGAUCUAUAAUAGACUUUUCCUGUGACAUUUACUAAAUCUUUUUGAAGUUCCCUUCUCUUUUCUGCACUAAAUAUCAGUUGCCCAAGAUAAUCUAUGAAGCUUGUAGCCUGGCCAUUAAGCACUCCUCUUGUGACUGGGUUAAUUCGCAGCAAAUUACAGAGAUUGCGGAACCGGCAGGCAGCAAAGCACUGUAACAUUUUCCUAAGAAAGGGAGAAAGAGCAGGGAACAAUAAUCACACUCCUUUCCUCAAGGAACAAAGAGGCUAGGUAUCCUAAGGUGACCGGAAUAUGAUCAUUACUGGGCUUCUGAACGUUGGAUCAGCUUUUGUAUGAAUUUAUGGUGCCAGGUUGAAUAUAACAAAGA
Molecule: long non-coding RNA, 1586 nt
Organism: Anolis carolinensis (green anole)
Lineage: Eukaryota; Metazoa; Chordata; Lepidosauria; Squamata; Anolidae
Exons: 3
Source: RefSeq, a predicted model, not a curated record